UACAGAGGUUUCAAGCGUUGUUCGGAUUUAUUGGGCGUAAAGGGUGCGUAGGCGGCGCGGCAAGUCGGGUGUGAAAUCUUGGAGCUUAACUCCGAAACUGCAUUCGAUACUGCCGUGCUUGAGGACUGGAGAGGAGACUGGAAUUUACGGUGUAGCGGUGAAAUGCGUAGAUAUCGUAAGGAAGACCAGUGGCGAAGGCGGGUCUCUGGACAGUUCCUGACGCUGAGGCACGAAGGCCAGGGGAGCAAACGGG
This 253-nucleotide ribosomal RNA is filed under the name uncultured bacterium. Its description in RNAcentral is "partial 16S ribosomal RNA". It matches the Rfam family "Bacterial small subunit ribosomal RNA", at positions 524 to 776 of the family's 1533-position model. The record is from RNAcentral.